This 838-nucleotide long non-coding RNA is filed under the name Rattus norvegicus (Norway rat). RNAcentral's name for it is "long non-coding RNA NONRATT027152". The record is from RNAcentral. Lineage: Eukaryota; Metazoa; Chordata; Mammalia; Rodentia; Muridae.
UCCGGCCGCGGGCUUGGAAAAGAGUUAUGGCUAAACAUCAUCCAGAUUUGAUUUUCUGCCGCAAGCAGGCUGGUGUAGCUAUCGGAAGACUGUGUGAAAAAUGUAAGCGGAACAUGCCCCAUCACACCUUGCCUCUAUACUCUUUGAAGAGCCAUCAAUUCCAGAGGAACACAAAAAAAGCCUUAAAUGGAUAUACCAGGCUGCAAAGAACACAGAAUACCUGGCUGCAGCCAAAGACCUCCCCCCACCACCACCAUCUUCCCACUUAAGCUUGCAAUUUUUAAUACUUCAUAUUUAGGUUUUAGGGAAAAAAAGAGUCUACUUUUGGACAGUAAGAUUUGUCAGAGUAAUGGGGACCUUCCCAGCCCAAUGUGUGUGCAAAAAGGACAUGCAGUUUGUUGACAACAACUACAUAGAUUUAAAAGCUCCCAGACAAUAUUCCAAACGCUUUGCAUGCAUUAGUUAACUGAGGUGAAUACAAGAUAAGGCUUAUGCUGUCGAGAUAGAAGAAGGUCCUAAAGUCACAGUUAUUUCCCUCGUAGGGCAGAGGAAAGAUCUUAGGGAAGUAAUUGCUGUUGACUGUAACCCAGUUCUGUCUCUGCAGGUGAUGGCAAAUGUGUGAUCUGCGAUUCCUACGUGCGUCCCUGUACCCUGGUUCGCAUAUGUGAUGAGUGUAACUAUGGAUCCUACCAGGGCCGCUGCGUGAUCUGUGGAGGUCCCGGAGUCUCUGAUGCCUACUAUUGUAAAGAGUGCACCAUUCAGGAGAAGGAUAGAGAUGGUUGCCCAAAGAUUGUCAAUUUGGGGAGCUCUAAGACAGACCUGUUCUAUGAGCGCAAAA